This 689-nucleotide ribosomal RNA is filed under the name Staphylococcus sp. RNAcentral's name for it is "bacterial SSU rRNA". It matches the Rfam family "Bacterial small subunit ribosomal RNA", at positions 64 to 735 of the family's 1533-position model. The record is from RNAcentral. Lineage: Bacteria; Bacillati; Bacillota; Bacilli; Caryophanales; Staphylococcaceae.
GAGCGAACAGAUAAGGAGCUUGCUCCUUUGACGUUAGCGGCGGACGGGUGAGUAACACGUGGAUAACCUACCUAUAAGACUGGGAUAACUUCGGGAAACCGGAGCUAAUACCGGAUAACAUAUUGAACCGCAUGGUUCAAUAGUGAAAGGCGGCUUUGCUGUCACUUAUAGAUGGAUCCGCGCCGUAUUAGCUAGUUGGUAAGGUAACGGCUUACCAAGGCAACGAUACGUAGCCGACCUGAGAGGGUGAUCGGCCACACUGGAACUGAGACACGGUCCAGACUCCUACGGGAGGCAGCAGUAGGGAAUCUUCCGCAAUGGGCGAAAGCCUGACGGAGCAACGCCGCGUGAGUGAUGAAGGUCUUCGGAUCGUAAAACUCUGUUAUCAGGGAAGAACAAAUGUGUAAGUAACUGUGCACAUCUUGACGGUACCUGAUCAGAAAGCCACGGCUAACUACGUGCCAGCAGCCGCGGUAAUACGUAGGUGGCAAGCGUUAUCCGGAAUUAUUGGGCGUAAAGCGCGCGUAGGCGGUUUUUUAAGUCUGAUGUGAAAGCCCACGGCUCAACCGUGGAGGGUCAUUGGAAACUGGAAAACUUGAGUGCAGAAGAGGAAAGUGGAAUUCCAUGUGUAGCGGUGAAAUGCGCAGAGAUAUGGAGGAACACCAGUGGCGAAGGCGACUUUCUGGUCU